GUGCUGACGAGUGGCGAACGGGUGAGUAAUGCGUAGAAAUCUACCUUUUAGUGGGGGAUAACUUAGGGAAACUUAAGCUAAUACCGCAUAAUCUCUAUUGAGCAAAGCAGGGGACCUUAGGGCCUUGCGCUAAAAGAUGAGUUUGCGUCAGAUUAGCUUGUUGGUGAGGUAAAGGCUCACCAAGGCAACGAUCUGUAGCUGGUCUGAGAGGACGACCAGCCACACUGGGACUGAGAUACGGCCCAGACUCC
RNAcentral lists this ribosomal RNA (251 nucleotides) under uncultured bacterium. RNAcentral's name for it is "partial 16S ribosomal RNA". It matches the Rfam family "Bacterial small subunit ribosomal RNA", at positions 85 to 339 of the family's 1533-position model. The record is from RNAcentral.